UACGAAGGGGGCUAGCGUUGUUCGGAAUUACUGGGCGUAAAGCGCACGCAGGCGGUCCGUUAAAUUAGGAGUGAAAGCCCUGGGCUCAACCCGGGAAUUGCUCUUAAGACUGGCGGACUUGAAUCCGGAAGAGGGCAGUGGAAUUCCAAGUGUAGAGGUGAAAUUCGUAGAUAUUUGGAAGAACACCAGUGGCGAAGGCGACUGCCUGGUCCGGCAUUGACGCUCAUGUGCGAAAGCGUGGGGAGCAAACAGG
This 253-nucleotide ribosomal RNA is filed under the name uncultured bacterium. Its description in RNAcentral is "partial 16S ribosomal RNA". It matches the Rfam family "Bacterial small subunit ribosomal RNA", at positions 524 to 776 of the family's 1533-position model. The record is from RNAcentral.